CGCCAGACUCCUACGGGAGGCAGCAGUGAGGAAUAUUGGUCAAUGGUCGUGAGACUGAACCAGCCAAGCCGCGUGAGGGAUGAAGGUACAGAGUAUCGUAAACCUCUUUUGUCAGGGAACAAAGGCGGGGACGUGUCCCCGGAUGAGUGUACCUGAAGAAAAAGCACCGGCUAACUACGUGCCAGCAGCCGCGGUAAAACGUAGGGCGCAAGCGUUGUCCGGAAUUACUGGGUGUAAAGGGAGCGCAGGCGGUCUGUCAAGUUGGGAGUGGAGACUACGGGCUCAUCCCGUAGCUUGCUUUCAAACCUGGCGGUCUUGGGUGGUGUGGAGGUAGGCGGAAUUCCCGGUGUAGCGGUGGAAUGCGUAGAUAUCGGGAGGAACAUCAGUGGCGAAGGCGGCCUACUGGGCACUAACUGACGCUGAGGCUCGAAAGCAUGGGUAGCAAACAGGAUUAGAUACCCCUGUAUAA
RNAcentral lists this ribosomal RNA (469 nucleotides) under uncultured bacterium. RNAcentral describes it as "bacterial SSU rRNA". It matches the Rfam family "Bacterial small subunit ribosomal RNA", at positions 329 to 793 of the family's 1533-position model. The record is from RNAcentral.